GCAAGUCGAACGGAAACGAUUGAAGCUUGCUUCAGGCGUCGCGUGGCGGACGGGUGAGUAAUACUUAGGAAUCUGCCCAUUAGUGGGGGACACCUCGAGGAAACUCGAGCUAAUACCGCAUACGCCCUACGGGGGAAAGCGGGGGUCUUCGGACCUCGCGCUAAUGGAUGAGCCUAAGUCGGAUUAGCUAGUUGGUGAGGUAAAGGCUCACCAAGGCGACGAUCCGUAGCUGGUCUGAGAGGACGAUC
This 248-nucleotide ribosomal RNA is filed under the name uncultured bacterium. Its description in RNAcentral is "partial 16S ribosomal RNA". It matches the Rfam family "Bacterial small subunit ribosomal RNA", at positions 57 to 305 of the family's 1533-position model. The record is from RNAcentral.